This 104-nucleotide microRNA precursor is filed under the name Marmota monax (woodchuck). Lineage: Eukaryota; Metazoa; Chordata; Mammalia; Rodentia; Sciuridae. The record is from RNAcentral.
AUUUAGAGCUCCUGGGGAUGUUGGGUAAAGGCAGAUUCUGAUUAAGAAAGUCUUAAAUGGGGCCCAAGAUUCUGCAUUUCAAAUGAGCUCCCAGUGGUAUUCAU